Long non-coding RNA from Tympanuchus pallidicinctus (lesser prairie-chicken), 462 nucleotides. RefSeq lists it as uncharacterized. The transcript is spliced from 4 exons. The record is from RefSeq and is a predicted model, not a curated record. NCBI's taxonomy places the organism in Eukaryota, Metazoa, Chordata, Aves, Galliformes, Phasianidae.
CGAUGGUGCGCAGGGAGUGCUCCUCCGUCACACGGUGCAGGGCGAAGACGUCGAAACACCACAGGUCAAGGCUCUGGGGGAGGAUGGGGGCACAUGGAGGGACUCAGUGAUGCCCAGAGAUGCCCAGAGAUGCCCAGAGAUGCCCAGGAUGGCAGGUGAUGCUCAGAGAUGCUCAGAGAUGCUCAGAGAUGCCCAGAGAUGCCCAGGAUGGCAGGUGAUGCUCAGAGAUGCCCAGAGAUGCCCAGAGAUGCCCAGAGAUGCCCAGAGAUGCUCAGAGAUGCCCAGGAUGGCAGGUGAUGCCCAGAGAUGCCCAAUGAUGCUCAGCAACACCCAGUGAUGCCCAGUGACCCCCCAGCAGUGCCAGUAGUGCCCAGUGCCGUCCAGUGAUGCCCACUAAAGCCCAUUGCAAUGCCCAGCGAUGCCCAGCAGUGCCCGGCGAUGCCAGUAACGCCACCGUGCCAC